RNAcentral lists this ribosomal RNA (537 nucleotides) under uncultured Acidobacteriota bacterium. Its description in RNAcentral is "bacterial SSU rRNA". It matches the Rfam family "Bacterial small subunit ribosomal RNA", at positions 13 to 529 of the family's 1533-position model. The record is from RNAcentral. Lineage: Bacteria; Pseudomonadati; Acidobacteriota.
UUGAUCCUGGCUCAGAAUCAACGCUGGCGGCGUGCCUAACACAUGCAAGUCGAACGCGAAAGUCCCGCAAGGGAUGAGUAGAGUGGCAAACGGGUGAGUUACACGUGGGUGACCUGCCUUCGAGUGGGGGAUAACGUCCCGAAAGGGACUCUAAUACCGCAUGACAUCCUGCCUUUGAAGAGGUGGAGAUCAGAGCUGGUGACCGCAAGGCCUGGCGCUUGAAGAGGGGCCCGCGUCUGAUUAGCUAGUUGGUGGGGUAACGGCUCACCAAGGCUUCGAUCAGUAUCCGGCCUGAGAGGUCGGACGGACACACUGGGACUGAGACACGGCCCAGACUCCUACGGGAGGCUGCAGUGGGGAAUUGUUCGCAAUGGGCGCAAGCCUGACGACGCAACGCCGUGUGGAGGAUGAAGAUCUUCGGGUCGUAAACUCCUUUCGAUCGAGACGAAUGGCUUCCGGGUGAACAGCCCGGGAGAAUGACGGUACCGAGAGAAGAAGCUCCGGCUAACUCCGUGCCAGCAGCCGCGGUAAUAAGGU